UCCUAGGUGAACCUGCGGAGUGAUCAUUAAAGAAUUAGAUCGUAAGAUCGAAAUUCCCACCCUUUGUCAUCGAAUACUGUCACUGACCCCCUGAGCCUUGAUCUCACGAUCCUAGCGGAGGGCAGUAGUUUUAACCAAGUCUCUUCUUGAGACGAGGUAAUACACGUUAUCAUUACAGUCAUAUCAAAAGUUAAUUAUAAAACUUUCAACAACGGAUCUCUUGGUUCUGGCAUCGAUGAAGAACGCAGCGAAAUGCGAUAAGUAAUGUGAAUUGCAGAAUUCAGUGAAUCAUCGAAUCUUUGAACGCACAUUGCACCUUCUGGUAUUCCGGGAGGUAUGUCUGUUCGAGCGUCAUUACACCUCUCGAGUCUCACUCGGUAUUGGGGCAUGUACUUCGGUGCAGCUCUUGAAUUCAGUCGGCUGGUAUUUUCUACCUUCAGCGUUGUGCAAAUAUCGCUUUGGAAUAGUUAAGGCCACGCCGUUAAACCUCUUUCAAUAAGGUUGACCUCGGAUCAGAUAGGGAUACCCGCUGAACUUAAGCAUAUCAAUAAGCGGAGGA
This 559-nucleotide ribosomal RNA is filed under the name uncultured fungus. RNAcentral's name for it is "eukaryotic LSU rRNA". The stretch from base 201 to 354 matches the Rfam family "5.8S ribosomal RNA". Lineage: Eukaryota; Fungi. The record is from RNAcentral.